Molecule: transfer RNA, 61 nt
Filed under: Chalcophana sp. N69
Lineage: Eukaryota; Metazoa; Arthropoda; Insecta; Coleoptera; Chrysomelidae
Description: tRNA-Ala
Source: RNAcentral
UAAUAGUUAAAUAUAACAUUUAAUUUGCAAUUAAAAAAUAUUGAUUAAUCAAUUUGUCUUU